GUGGCCCUGGUAUGCGUGAAUGUCUACAAAAAUCCAUCUUGUACUUUGGCCACAUGACAAACUUUUCUUCUUCGCUAAUUUCAUUAGAAAUCCACAGAAAAUUUGUUACUUAUUUUAUAUAUCUCUGAUACUAACAAAUUAACAAGAUCUCCUCCUGCUACAUUAAGUAUUGAAGCAUUUCAAGGGAUCAACACUUCUUUCAUAAAAUGGCAAAGAGAGAAGGAAAAGACACAGGUGGUGGAGGGAAGAGGAUUGCCAAAUAUCACCAUCAAAGCUUCCAACAACUGCCAAAAACUCCUGACCAACCUUGAUAGAUGGGCAAAAGGCAGGUAGCAUUUCUGCUUACAUCCAUUUCCACCUUGAUAUAGGGAAUGCCCCUUGCUACAACAACAUGAUGCACCAUGAAAUCUUCUUCCCUUUAAAUGAUCUCAAAUCAAACUGUCUGAAAACGACUACAAGAUAUUUAAACCAAGACCUGCCAAACACCAACUCAGGAAAGUCAUUCAAACCAAUGCCCCCACUACACUCUCAAACUCCACAACUGAAAGGUUUGGUUGAACCUCUCCCCUCUGAAUUUCCUUGCUAUGAUCCAAGCUUCAAGCUUUAAUAGCAAAAUCAAUCAAUUGCAUAGUGUUGAAAGCUUUAUCUUGUCUCAGCCAGUUUUAAGGAAAGUACAAGUCUCAUAUUGAAGAUGAAGAUCAAACAAGUCUAGGAUACAAGAAAAAGAACUGAAUCUUUAUAUGAUAACAAAAAAUUUUCACUUUAUGGUCAGCAAAAACUGUUUUAUGUUGUAUCUUUUUCUUUCUUGUAACAUGAAAUAGGAUACAAGACCUCAUGAUAUGAAAACCAUCAAAUUCACCAAUCACAGUUAAUAAGUUAGAGAAUAGCCACACUAAGAAAAAUGAUAAUAAUAGCAAUUACUAACAGGUUGUCUCCACAGAAGGGCUAUCUCCACAGAAUUACAUUGGAACUCAACAUGAGCACAUAAAUUGAAAAUUGAAAUCUGAAAUAAUUCACCGUGGGUUUGCGUUACUUGGUCUACCUGACAUAUGUCUUUAUGUCCAUUGAAUUACUCUGAAGGCCUGCAUAAA
RNAcentral lists this unclassified non-coding RNA (1091 nucleotides) under Hevea brasiliensis (rubber tree). Lineage: Eukaryota; Viridiplantae; Streptophyta; Magnoliopsida; Malpighiales; Euphorbiaceae. The record is from RNAcentral.